This 917-nucleotide long non-coding RNA is filed under the name Sorghum bicolor (sorghum). RNAcentral describes it as "long non-coding RNA (SBIC_LNC002526)". Lineage: Eukaryota; Viridiplantae; Streptophyta; Magnoliopsida; Poales; Poaceae. The record is from RNAcentral.
UGGUGGAGUAAAUGAUAGUGAUGAUGAAAAUGCAUAAGUGAUAAUAAAACUUAGUUCUCAUUGCUCCUUAUAUUGCUAUCUCUCCUCCUCUUUGAUCUUUGCCUUGGAAGAACAUGGGCUAUCUUUUUUUUUCAGGUGGGUAGUAGAUACCCCUAAUUCUACUGUCGGACACUUGUCCAUUUUUUCCGCUCAAGUGGGCAUCUUUGUACCCCUAAUUCUACUUCGGACACUUGUCCAUUUUUACCUCUCGUCUCACUCUUUUUCUUUCUUUUCUGAGGUUCCGGGCACUUGCCCCUUUUUAUUUCCUCCUAUAUUUUUGCAUAACCCAUGCCUCUUCUGCAUUGAAUCUUUUUAGAGAGAGAGAAUAACAAUACUUGGGACAGUGAGUGAUAAUAUUUUUUAGCAAUUUUAAUGAUUGAUCAUGAAUGCUGUGGUAGAUGUGUGCAAGUGAAUAUCUUUAAUUUAACCACAUGAAAAGCUUCUAAGGGUCAACACAGCUCGAUCAAACUCAAUGUAAAUAUAGUAAAAGAUGUUAUAGCAAGUAUGGCUGUGGUAGGUAGUUUUGUUAUGCUAGGAACUCAUCAUGUGAUUUGUAAGUUUUCAAAAUAAAUCUCUAGAACUUAGUGUAGUAGGAACAAGAUAAACAGUAGCUCAACUUUACAUCAUGCCUUUCUCUUACCUAGACUUUAGUUUUAUGCUUCCCAAAGAUAGUAAUUUUAGUUUUAGUAAUUCCUGGAAGAACUCUAAUAUAAAAGCUAGGUACUUGUAAGUAAGCAAACAGAGCAACUGUUCAUCAUUUCCAUCAUGCAUCUUUUUGGUCUUUUUAUUUUUUUUCUAGAGAUUAAACUUAGCAGAAAAAUAAAGCACACUUAUCUACACACUCUUUUUAUUUUGUUUUCAUGUUUAUAAAGUGCAGU